UACGUAGGGUGCGAGCGUUGUCCGGAAUUAUUGGGCGUAAAGGGCUCGUAGGCGGUUUGUCGCGUCGGGAGUGAAAAUCCAGGGCUUAACUCUGGACUGGCUUUCGAUACGGGCAGACUAGAGGUAUGCAGGGGAGAACGGAAUUCCUGGUGUAGCGGUGGAAUGCGCAGAUAUCAGGAGGAACACCGAUGGCGAAGGCAGAUCUCUGGGCCGUAACUGACGCUGAGGAGCGAAAGCAUGGGGAGCGAACAGG
Molecule: ribosomal RNA, 253 nt
Filed under: uncultured bacterium
Lineage: Bacteria
Description: partial 16S ribosomal RNA
Rfam family: Bacterial small subunit ribosomal RNA
Source: RNAcentral